Molecule: ribosomal RNA, 565 nt
Filed under: uncultured archaeon
Lineage: Archaea
Description: bacterial SSU rRNA
Rfam family: Archaeal small subunit ribosomal RNA
Source: RNAcentral
GUUACGGGCCCUGAGAGGGGGAGCCCGGAGAUGGACUUUGAGACACGAGUACAGGCCAUACGGGGCGCAGCAGGCGCGAAACCUUAGCAAUGCGCGAAAGCGCGACGAGGGGAGCCCGAGUGCCCUUCCUUUUGGGAGGGCUUUUCCGGAGUAUAAAAAGCUCCGGGAAUAAGGGCUGGGCAAGACGGGUGCCAGCCGCCGCGGUAAUACCCGCAGCUCGAGUGGUGGCCACUAUUAUUGAGCCUAAAGCGUCCGUAGCCGGACCCGUAAAUCCCUGGGUAAAUCCUGGCGCUCAAUGUCAGGAAUUCCGGGGAGACUGCGGGUCUUGGGACCGGGAGAGGCCGGAGGUACUCCCGGGGUAGGGGUAAAAUCCUGUAAUCCCGGGGGGACCACCUGUGGCGAAAGCGUCCGGCUUGAACGGCUCCGACGGUGAGGGACGAAGGCCAGGGGAGCAAACCGGAUUAGAUACCCGGGUAGUCCUGGCUGUAAACGCUGCCCGCUUGGUGUUGUCGGUCUCUCGGGGGCCGGCAGUGCCGGAGCGAAGGUGUUAAGCGGGCCGCUUGGG